RNAcentral lists this ribosomal RNA (468 nucleotides) under uncultured bacterium. RNAcentral's name for it is "partial 16S ribosomal RNA". It matches the Rfam family "Bacterial small subunit ribosomal RNA", at positions 28 to 507 of the family's 1533-position model. The record is from RNAcentral.
GACGAACGCUGGCGGCGUGCUUAACACAUGCAAGUCGAACGGAAAGGCCCUGCUUUUGUGGGGUGCUCGAGUGGCGAACGGGUGAGUAACACGUGAGUAACCUGCCCUUGACUUUGGGAUAACUUCAGGAAACUGGGGCUAAUACCGGAUAGGAGCUCCUGCUGCAUGGUGGGGGUUGGAAAGUUUCGGCGGUUGGGGAUGGACUCGCGGCUUAUCAGCUUGUUGGUGGUGUAGUGGCUUACCAAGGCUUUGACGGGUAGCCGGCCUGAGAGGGUGACCGGCCACAUUGGGACUGAGAUACGGCCCAGACUCCUACGGGAGGCAGCAGUGGGGAAUAUUGCACAAUGGGCGGAAGCCUGAUGCAGCAACGCCGCGUGCGGGAUGACGGCCUUCGGGUUGUAUACCGCUUUCGCCUGUGACGAAGCGUGAGUGACGGUAAUGGGUAAAGAAGCACCGGCUAACUACGUG